This 296-nucleotide long non-coding RNA is filed under the name Trifolium pratense (red clover). Its description in RNAcentral is "long non-coding RNA (TPRA_LNC003835)". The record is from RNAcentral. Lineage: Eukaryota; Viridiplantae; Streptophyta; Magnoliopsida; Fabales; Fabaceae.
GGCGGGUUCUAUGGUGCACAAGCCAUAUAGGUCUUGCACCGUGCAAGACCUUUCCUGACCGUUUGAUCAAAAAGAUUUAUCAAAAUAAAAAAUACACUCUCCACAGCAUAUUUUUCCCAUCUCCCUCUUCUUCUAUCUUCUGAUUCCUUACCAAAACUUCUGAAUGUUAGUUGGUUGUGCUGCCACCGCAGAUUAUCUUAUCGCUAUAAUCUCACAUGUUCUUUGCCACAAUAAUAAGCUCCUCCAGAUCAAAACUGCAGAUUUAUCCAACUAAAUUUGAGACACCAAUUUUUUUU